GUUAGGGUUAUUUUUUUUUUUUUUUUUUGUUAAACGAAACUGUCGUUAAACGUACUUCUUAAGUUAGAUAGGUUAGGGUUAUUUUUUUUUUUUUUUGUUAAACGAAACUGUCGUUAAACGUACUUCUUAAGUUAGAUAGGUUAGGGUUAUUUUUUUUUUUUUUUUGUUAAACGAAACUGUCGUUAAACGUACUUCUUAAGUUAGAUAGG
RNAcentral lists this unclassified non-coding RNA (209 nucleotides) under Melitaea cinxia (Glanville fritillary). RNAcentral's name for it is "misc RNA ENSMCXG00005005637.1". Lineage: Eukaryota; Metazoa; Arthropoda; Insecta; Lepidoptera; Nymphalidae. The record is from RNAcentral.